GUUGGGGUCAAUCUGGAAGACCUGUGCUCCGGUGGUGAAGAUGGGCUGUUCUUCCAUCCCCGGCACUGCUCCGGCGGCCACUCCGACCCGGCCUCUCACGCUCACUGUCCGCCCGCUUGGCGUCUGCUACCGGCGCGGCACGUGCGGAGGCCCCUGCGCGCCUGGCUCAGCCCAGGCGCCGCUCCAUUCCACCAGGCGCGGGCAGGCAGGGGCUCUCGAAAAAUCAUUCUAAGAGAUAAAUUAAAAGAGUAAUCUGUAAUAAGGGGAAUAAUCUGUAAUAAGCAUUCCAACUCAGAAAAAAACUGAAUAUAUGUAAUACAUAUAAACUCCUGAGAAGAAAGGUCGAAGCACAAGAAGGGUCUCAUGUGUAGCAGCCUGUUGAGAAAAAUGAAGAGCCCUGUAAUCCUGAGGAGGGGGCUUAAUCCAAAGAGAGAUGCUCCAGGUCCUGUGCACAUGAAAGAUUUGCCUGCUUCUGCCCAUCCAGGAGCUUACUUCCUGAAGCCUUUGAAGCCUUCAGGAGGCAGGAGGCUGAAUGAGUUUCUCAGGACAAUCUAAUCAUAUCCUGACAGGGAGAAAAAAAUCAUGACCUAGGACGG
This 596-nucleotide long non-coding RNA is filed under the name Homo sapiens (human). RNAcentral describes it as "non-protein coding lnc-TMEM121-6:1". The record is from RNAcentral. Lineage: Eukaryota; Metazoa; Chordata; Mammalia; Primates; Hominidae.